RNAcentral lists this ribosomal RNA (253 nucleotides) under uncultured bacterium. Its description in RNAcentral is "partial 16S ribosomal RNA". It matches the Rfam family "Bacterial small subunit ribosomal RNA", at positions 524 to 776 of the family's 1533-position model. The record is from RNAcentral.
UACGUAGGGUGCAAGCGUUAAUCGGAAUUACUGGGCGUAAAGCGUGCGCAGGCGGUUUUGUAAGUCAGAUGGGAAAUCCCCGGGCUUAACCUGGGAACUGCGUUUGAAACUACAAGGCUAGAGUGUGGCAGAGGGGGGUGGAAUUCCACGUGUAGCAGUGAAAUGCGUAGAGAUGUGGAGGAACACCGAUGGCGAAGGCAGCCCCCUGGGUUAACACUGACGCUCAGGCACGAAAGCGUGGGGAGCAAACAGG